Molecule: long non-coding RNA, 387 nt
Organism: Parasteatoda tepidariorum (common house spider)
Lineage: Eukaryota; Metazoa; Arthropoda; Arachnida; Araneae; Theridiidae
Source: RefSeq, a predicted model, not a curated record
CAUUUUAUUUAUACCUAAGCUUGUUUUAAGGUUGCUUAAAGUACACUUCAUAUUAACUAACUCACUUCCCAGAGUUCCAUGCGAGCCGGCAAAUGGCGUGUGUGUUGACAAUCGAAAGUCUAUUCGAAAUUCGAGCUUAUCCACAGUUCCCUGAUAUUACUGAGAUGGCCUAGGCUGUAAAUAGCACAUGCGCGGCGGCGCAGAAGAAGAGACAAGCAAGCUACUGCUCAGCCUUCCCCUAGGAUAUAGUUCUGAAUUUAUACCUAAAAGAAAAAGUUCCAAUAAUUACAAGUUUCAACAUGUAGACGGAAACAGUAUUUAAAAUAAUUUUGUUGGUUUGUAAAAAAAGUGAAAUUUUAGUUUUAAAUAAAAGUACUUUGAAUUUCA